Molecule: RNA transcript, 1892 nt
Organism: Arachis duranensis
Lineage: Eukaryota; Viridiplantae; Streptophyta; Magnoliopsida; Fabales; Fabaceae
Exons: 4
Source: RefSeq, a predicted model, not a curated record
UUCAUUUGCCUGUAAGCAACCACACUUGGUUUGAAGACUAAGUAGGAGAUAAAAUUAUUAAAAAUAUUGUGUGUGGAUGAGAGUUUUUUUUUUUGGUGAUUGAAGAUGGGGCCACAGGUAAAAAAAUCUAAAAGACUACAUUACAACAGGUCUAGUAAACUUCACUCCACAAGCAUCUGCGAUGAGUUGGUGCUGCAACAAGAAAAAGGGUUCUUCGAAGAACUGGAUUUCUUGAGGAUGAUCUUGUCCAGCUUUUGCAACAAAAUCAACGCCGAAUCAGGAAUGAGUUUCCAUGUCUUCCCUGCGGCGCUUUCUGAAUCAGCGACAACGCAUACUGUGAGUCCAUUUUCACCACUAUCUUACUGAUGUCCAGUUCCUUAGCCAACUUAACCCCAACAUAGAAAUCCUAAGGGUGUGUGUGGUUGGGGGAAUUAUAGAACAUUCCCAGAAAUUUUAAGAUGGGAAUAUAAAAUUCUUAUGUGUGGUUCAAAGUUAAAAAAAAAUUCUAAGGUAACUUUUAUUCCUUGGAAUUGAAUUACCACUCAUUCAAUUCCUAUCUCCCCCCUGGUUAUCUUUCAUUCCAAUGGGAAUGGAAUGUAAAUAAUGAAACAAAAAGACUAAAUUACCCCUAUUAUUUAAUACUAUAUUUCACUUCUUCAUUUUUUUUUGAAGAACUAAACCCUAGCAGAGCAGUUUUUUCCCAAAUCAGUGAGCUUCACCAACGCCACCGCCACCGGAGCCGGCACCGGCACCGGCACCGCCGUUACUCUAAACGGAAGAUUCGUCUCCUUAUCUUCUCCGAUUCAUGUUCGCACUGCUUUUCUCUGUGAAUUUUCUUCGAAUCUCAUAUUAAGGUUUGAGUUUUUUCCCAAAUCAGUGGAGGCUUCACCAACGCCACCGCUAUCGGAGCUACACCGGCGCCACCACCAUCGGAGCUACACCGGUGCCACCGUUACCUUAAACGGAAGACUGGUUUCCUUCUCUUUUUCAAGUUCAUGUUCGCAUUGCUUAUCUCUGCGAAUUCUCUUUGAAUCUCUCGUUAAGAUUGUUUGUUGAUAACCAUUGCCCAUGGAAAGCAAAAUGCCUUUCUCUUCAAGUAUUAUCCAAGCUAGGCCCAAACUUGAGCAGCAGUGUUGUUCUUGAAGUUUUAGAUAUGGGUCUGCAUGAUGAAGCUGAAAAAGUAAGAACUGAAGCUGUCAUUUCUAUGCCAAUGAUGCUUUUCUGGUCUACUCUUGAUAUAUCAUCUCCUGUCAUUCAAAAGAUUGACUGUUUGUUUAACGUGAAGGCUCUCAUCGACGAGAUGUUGAUAUUUGAAUUGCAGGAGGUACAUAAAGAGAGAUAAUGAGAAAGUAAAGAAAUUGGUUCCCAUAACACUUGGUCUGUUGUCAUGCCUUUAUGGAUGCAGAAGAGCUACCUCUGGCUUACAUACAGAUGAAUGCCUUUAUGGUGAAGUCAUUGUUGUUUUCUCUAACCAUGUUGGAGAUCAUUUUGGUUUCUGGUUUCUUCUGAGCAUUUUGGUGCCAAGGAUGAUUAGCAAAAGAACCAUAGAUGGAGCUGCUAUUCAAUGUGAUACAAGCCUGAUGAUUGUAACUAAGAACGGAGAUUUGAAGAUUGCUUUUGUUGAAGUCUGACCACAGUUGGGCUCCAAAAGAAUCUUGUGAAAUAAACCAAUCUAUGUUGGGGUAGAUGGAGAGAUCAACUUGCACAAGAAAUGUGGAACCAAUGGAGGAGAAGACAUCACACUCAAUAAUUGAAAUAAUUUUUCUAUGUGAGGUUGUAAUAUUGAUUUCAUUUUGUUGAUGUGUUUGUGUUCUUGUAUAAGAGUUGUGCAUGUAUGCUUACUAGUGCUAGUAAUUUUUACUUUUGAGACUUCUUUGUAACUUUCAUUUGCA